Molecule: ribosomal RNA, 307 nt
Filed under: uncultured bacterium
Lineage: Bacteria
Description: bacterial SSU rRNA
Rfam family: Bacterial small subunit ribosomal RNA
Source: RNAcentral
GAUGAACGCUAGCUACAGGCUUAACACAUGCAAGUCGAGCGGACGAAGGGAGCUUGCUCCCUGAGUUAGUGGCGAACGGGUGAGUAACGCGUGAGUAACCUGCCUUUCAGUGGGGGACAACAGUUGGAAACGACUGCUAAUACCGCAUAAAACUAUCGGGGGGCAUCCCUUGGUAGUCAAAGAUUUAUUGCUGAAAGAUGGGCUCGCGUCUGAUUAGCUGGAUGGCGGGGUAACGGCCCACCAUGGCGACGAUCAGUAGCCGGACUGAGAGGUUGAACGGCCACAUUGGGACUGAGAUACGGCCCAG